This 475-nucleotide RNase P RNA is filed under the name Candidatus Omnitrophota bacterium. Its description in RNAcentral is "RNase P RNA component class A". It matches the Rfam family "Bacterial RNase P class A". From Rfam's summary of the family: Ribonuclease P (RNase P) is a ubiquitous endoribonuclease, found in archaea, bacteria and eukarya as well as chloroplasts and mitochondria. Its best characterised activity is the generation of mature 5'-ends of tRNAs by cleaving the 5'-leader elements of precursor-tRNAs. The record is from RNAcentral. Lineage: Bacteria; Pseudomonadati; Candidatus Omnitrophota.
UUAGUAGAUCGGGCGCUCGAUCCCGCCUUUGGCGGGAUAGGAAAGUCCGAGCUCCACGGAGCAGCGUAGCGGCUAACGGCCGCCCACCGAAAGGUGAGGAUUAGAGGACAGAGACGAGCCAAAUCUUGCGAAGCAAGAUUUGAUCCUGAGGCCGCGACGAAUAGAAGCGGCCGAAGGACCAAAGGGUACUUCGGCGGCUAAAAUGCUUCCUUAUGGGUCGCAUUUUAACGCCGCCUCAGUAUCCAAAUUGCUUCGCAAUUUGGGUGAGACGACCAAUCUCUACGCGGAGUAAGACCAAAUAGGUUCCGAUCAAGGUGUUGCUCGCACCUACUCUAAAAUCAUGAGUAUCGGAACGGGUAAGGUCGCUCGACCCCGCCAGUAAUGGCGGGGCUAGAUAGAUGAGCGCCUCGUCCGCCGCUUUGCUCUGCAAAGCGGCGAGGCAAGACAGAACUCGGCUUACAGAUCUGCUAAAAUA